UGUUCGAGCGGGUAAGUCCUAUAAUGUGCCUCUGGUGCUCCCUUCCAUCGGUUGGCAAUGAGCCAGAGGAAAUAGGCAUUAUAGGGGCCGCUUUUUU
This 97-nucleotide small RNA is filed under the name Candidatus Scalindua rubra. RNAcentral's name for it is "DUF3800-V RNA". It matches the Rfam family "DUF3800-V RNA". Lineage: Bacteria; Pseudomonadati; Planctomycetota; Candidatus Brocadiia; Candidatus Brocadiales; Candidatus Scalinduaceae. The record is from Rfam by way of RNAcentral.